Molecule: unclassified non-coding RNA, 290 nt
Filed under: Hevea brasiliensis (rubber tree)
Lineage: Eukaryota; Viridiplantae; Streptophyta; Magnoliopsida; Malpighiales; Euphorbiaceae
Source: RNAcentral
AGGCUAGCAACCCAAGUGUUAUAGGCCAAAUUGAUCUUGGCAGGAUGCUGGCUCACUGAGCUAUCUCCACUCGUUGCCAACAAAUAACCGAUGCCUUUAUUUUUAUCAUAGUCAUUAAAGGCGUACCUUGGGCACACCUCAAUCUCAAAGCUCACCAGGCUUCAACUCUAGUGCCUCUAUAGGAGAAAGGCAGGCAUCAUUCUAGGCAUGGGCAUUGUUCCAGGCACAAAGCUUUAGAAAGGCGUUGCUUGUUCCAGGUGCAAUGCUCUAAAAAGGCAUGCCUUCUUUAU